GUUUUGCAGAUGCUCUUUAACAGGUUAAGGAAGAUCCCUUUUAUUCUUAGUUUGCUGUGUGUUGGUAUUAUGAAGGCGUGUUGGAUUUUGUCAAAUACUUUUUCUAACUAUAUUGAGUUUAGCCUAUGCAUGUAUUUUCCUCAGAGAGCCCACGGAGGAGAGAGAGAUGGCUAAAACAAGAAGAGAUCGGUGGAUGACUACAUCUGCCGGCCAGAAGACCACUCUGAUAGCUUUCAUGAGGAUGACUGCGUCUCCCAGCCAAAAGGCCACUCUGAUAGCUUCCAUGAGGAUGACUGCAUCUCCUGGCCAAAAGACCACUCUGAUAGCUUCCAUGAGCUCUCCCUGGGGCAUCCAUGGAGAAGAUAUUUUUGAGGGAGAAAUCCCCAAUGCUUCUUGAAUCUUGCAGCCCACACAGGGAUUUCCUACAAGCAACCCAGCCUUGAGCUAUAAAGACCUGAUCACUUUCCUGGGUGAAGACAGCAGACUGACUCAGUUAUUCUGUGGAUAGGUGACUUGAUCAAUGAGUUGGCGAGAGUUCUAAGAUGUGUCUUUCAGGCACAUAUCUCAGAUUUGUAAAAUUAUUAUUUAUUUAUUUAAUUCAUUUUUUUUUUUGAGAUGGAGACUCACUCUGUCACCCAGGCUGGAGUGCAGUGGCACAAUCUCGGCUCACUGCAACCUCCACCUCCCAGGUUCAAAUGAUUCUCCUGCCUCAGCCUCCUGAGUAGCCGGGAUUACAGGCACCUGCCACCAUGCCCAGCUAAUCUUUGUAUUUUUAGUAUAGACAGGGUUUCACCAUAUUGGCUGCACUGGUCUCCAACUCCUGACCUCAGGUGAUCCACCUGCCUCAGCCUCCCAAAUUGCUGGGAUUACAGGCAUGAACCACUGUGCCUGGCCUCAGAUUUGUAAGAUAAUUUAAACAAGACUCAGUGUCUCUGCAUCUCACACUGGUUGUAUAUUGCAUUAAAAUGGUGAUAAUUCUCCCCUAAUCAAACUGUGCCCAAUGCUGGCAAGGACACUAAUGUUAUGAAGACAAGAGGUAGCUGAAAAAUAAAGAGACAAUAGCCACGAGACAGACCCAGAGGUCAGGCAGGGCAGGGUUGCCGUGAGGACAUGGCUCGUCCCACAGGACCUGGGAACUGGUGGUCACAGCAGUGCAAGGUCCUGUUCUCUCCUCUGCAGGGACAGACAGGCCACCAGCCUGACAGAGACGGCAUUAGUGGGCAGCUGCCAGGAACUAGCAGGGAUUGCACUAGACUUUAUAGCGCCAUAGUUCAGAAUUGCUGGAUUUGGAGACAAAAUCCAGGUUUGAAUUGUGAUUCUAUUUCUUACUGCUCCGUGUCCUGGGGCAGCCAGGUCAGCUCUCUGAGCCCUAUGGUCUCCAUGGCUGAGUGAGAAUGCCCGCCUCCACUCAGAACCAGCCAGUGUGGUGCCAGCAACCUAUCUAACACAAGCAAAGAGGAUUUCUUAAUGAAAACAUUUUGUCUUGCACAAAACAAUACUCAAUUUAAGAAACAGCAAAUGCAGAAAAGGAAAAAGAGGAUUAGAAAACUAUAGAAAGAGCUCAGUGCAUGGCAAGAGUUUAAUAAAUAUUAGUUCUUCCCAUUUAGUUUUGCUUUCCAACCCAACAAGCGUGCUUCGAAAGACAGAGAAGAAAGAGGGAUUAUGGCAAAAGCAGUGAUAAGAGUUUCUUGCAUCUUCACAGAUCAAGCAUCUUGGUCUGCAACCAGGUUUUUCUGAACAAAGGGUUAGGAGCCAAAGUUUGGGGUGGUGAAAGCCAUGGGGCCCAUGUUAGGAUGAGGACAAGUGUGCAUAUGGGUGGCAGGUGGUUUUGCCCAGAAUGAACUGGAGGGUGAUGAUCCUGGAUCUGGCAGUGAAGCGGCAGUGUCUGCUCAGCAGGAGCGGGAGGUGUGGAGCCACUUCGUCACACUCUCAGCUGCACGGCUUUGGGCCACAGCCUGUAGACACUGGUGGAAUCUGCUUAG
Molecule: long non-coding RNA, 1982 nt
Filed under: Homo sapiens (human)
Lineage: Eukaryota; Metazoa; Chordata; Mammalia; Primates; Hominidae
Description: long intergenic non-protein coding RNA 1443
Source: RNAcentral